RNAcentral lists this ribosomal RNA (921 nucleotides) under uncultured bacterium. Its description in RNAcentral is "bacterial SSU rRNA". It matches the Rfam family "Bacterial small subunit ribosomal RNA", at positions 8 to 914 of the family's 1533-position model. The record is from RNAcentral.
AGAGUUUGAUCCUGGCUCAGGACGAACGCUGGCGGCGUGCCUAAUACAUGCAAGUCGAGCGAUGAUUAGAGAUAGCUUGCUAUCUUUAUGAAGAGCGGCGAACGGGUGAGUAACGCGUGGGAAAUCUGCCGAGUAGCGGGGGACAACGUUUGGAAACGAACGCUAAUACCGCAUAACAAUGAGGAUCGCAUGAUUCUUAUUUAAAAGAAGCAAUUGCUUCACUACUUGAUGAUCCCGCGUUGUAUCAGCUAGUUGGUAGUGUAAAGGACUACCAAGGCGAUGAUACAUAGCCGACCUGAGAGGGUGAUCGGCCACACUGGGACUGAGACACGGCCCAGACUCCUACGGGAGGCAGCAGUAGGGAAUCUUCGGCAAUGGGGGCAACCCUGACCGAGCAACGCCGCGUGAGUGAAGAAGGUCUUCGGAUCGUAAAACUCUGUUGUUAGAGAAGAACGUUAAGUAGAGUGGAAAGUUACUUAAGUGACGGUAUCUAACCAGAAAGGGACGGCUAACUACGUGCCAGCAGCCGCGGUAAUACGUAGGUCCCAAGCGUUGUCCGGAUUUAUUGGGCGUAAAGCGAGCGCAGGUGGUUUCUUAAGUCUGAUGUAAAAGGCAGUGGCUCAACCAUUGUGUGCAUUGGAAACUGGGAGACUUGAGUGCAGAGAGGAGAGUGGAAAUUCCAUGUGUAGCGGUGAAAUGCGUAGAUAUAUGGGAGGAACACCGGGAGGCGAAAGCGGCUCUCUGGGCCUGUAACUGACACUGAGCUUCGAAAGCGUGGGGGAGCAAACAGAUUAGAUACCCUUGUAGUCUACGCGUAACCGAUGAGUGCUAGCUGUAGCAGCUAUAGUCUCUGUAGCGCAGCUUACGCAUAAGUCCUCGACUUGGGGAGUACGACGCAAGAUGGAACUUCAAGGAAUUGGA